UAGUCCACGCCGUAAACGAUGAUCACUCGAUAUUGGUUUUAAUCAGUGUCUAAGCGAAAGCGUUAAGUGAUCCACCUGGGGAGUACGAUCGCAAGGUUGAAACUCAAAGGAAUUGACGGGGGCCCGCACAAGCGGUGGAGCAUGUGGUUUAAUUCGAUGAUACGCGAGGAACCUUACCUAGGCUUAAAUGCAGUUUGAUCGAUUGCGAAAGUAAUCUUUCUUUAUGACAAAUUGCAAGGUGCUGCAUGGUUGUCGUCAGCUCGUGCCGUGAGGUGUCGGGUUAAGUCCCAUAACGAGCGCAACCCCUAUUUCUAGUUGCCAGCACAUAAUGGUGGGGACUCUAGAAAAACUGCCCGUGUAAACGGAGAGGAAGGUGGGGAUGACGUCAAAUCAUCACGGCCCUUACGUCUAGGGCUACACACGUGCUACAAUGGUAAGAACAAUGUGUUGCUUUAUGGUGACAUUAUUGCUAAUCAUUAAAUCUUAUCUCAGUUCGGAUUGAAGU
This 505-nucleotide ribosomal RNA is filed under the name uncultured bacterium. RNAcentral describes it as "bacterial SSU rRNA". It matches the Rfam family "Bacterial small subunit ribosomal RNA", at positions 791 to 1304 of the family's 1533-position model. The record is from RNAcentral.